Molecule: ribosomal RNA, 423 nt
Filed under: Triticum aestivum (bread wheat)
Lineage: Eukaryota; Viridiplantae; Streptophyta; Magnoliopsida; Poales; Poaceae
Description: partial small subunit ribosomal RNA
Source: RNAcentral
AUGGAGUACCGCCAUGCUGAUGUGGGGAGAACAAUCUCAUACUUCCAAGAUAUGAAGGUACAAGAUCCAGAUUUCUAUUGGAGAAUAAAGCUUGAUGAUGAGGACAGAGUGGAAAAUUUGUUCUGGAUAGAUGGUGCGUCGCACAGGGCAUAUGCUAGAUACAAUGAUGUCAUCUCAUUCGACACAACAUACAUGACAAACAUGUACAAGAUUCCCUGUGCGUCCUUCAUUGGCAUUAAUAACCAUGGGCAGUUAAUCCAGUUUGGUUGUGGAUUUGUUCGAAACAAACUAUUUGGUAACUUUGUGUGGCCGUUUAAUGCAUUCUUGCAUGCAAUGGGUGGAAUUGCGCCAAAGAACAUAAUAACAUAUCAAGAUUUUGCAAUGAGGAGUGCUAUUGAUGAGGUGUUCUGUUGGGGAACGUAG